Molecule: ribosomal RNA, 486 nt
Filed under: uncultured bacterium
Lineage: Bacteria
Description: bacterial SSU rRNA
Rfam family: Bacterial small subunit ribosomal RNA
Source: RNAcentral
GAUGAACGCUAGCGGCAGGCCUAACACAUGCAAGUCAGGGGUAACAUAGAAAAGCUUGCUUUUCUGAUGACGACCGGCGCACGGGUGCGUAACGCGUAUACAACCUACCUUUUAGCGGGGAAUAGCCCAGGGAAACUUGGAUUAAUGCCCCAUAGUAUAUAGACUUCUCCUGAAGUUUAUAUUAAACAUUUAUGGCCAUUAGAUGGGUAUGCGCCCUAUUAGCUAGUUGGUGUGGUAACGGCACACCAAGGCUACGAUAGGUAGGGGUCCUGAGAGGGAGAUCCCCACACUGGUACUGAGACACGGACCAGACUCCUACGGGAGGCAGCAGUGAGGAAUAUUGGACAAUGGGCGAGAGCCUGAUCCAGCCAUGCCGCGUGCAGGAAGACUGCCCUAUGGGUUGUAAACUGUCUUUUACAGAGGAAGAACCACCCCACGUGUGGGGGUUUGACGGUACUCUGCGAAUAAGGAUCGGCUAACUCCGUG